GGCCUUGGAUCCGCCUCCCUGCUCCUGACUGUCUGGGUGAGCACUGCACUGUCUGACCCUGACCAGUCUCUGGACUCGAUCCUGACCCAGACUUUCUUUGCAUCCUGCUUCUUGGUCGGUAAAUUCACUGCUUCCACCAGAACCAUGGUCACAUUCAGCUCAUGACUCGCCUUCCCAGGCAGAGCAGCCAGCCCUCACUGCUCCUGAAAACCAUCGAGUACAAGCUAUCAAAGUCAGUCAGUUUGUAAUUGUUUUGUCUGAGCAAAUGAUGCCUUUGUUGUUUGAGCUGAUGGUGACUUUGCUGUAGAUGAUAAACACGAUGCUCUGACAUUUCUAAUAUGAGGGUUGAACUAUCACGUCACUAUGGACCCUAUCAGCUGCAUUUGGAAAUGGACCCAGGAUGUGUUCACCACAGAGAUAAAAGCUGAGAUUGACUCUUCCACAAGGUUUCAGUAGGAAAGAAGACCAGGAGCCAGUGAACCAGAAUGAGGGGGAAGUCAGAGAACAUGUCAUUCAAUUCAUCUUGUAGCACAAAGGCAGAGACCUGGAGAAUUUCUUUCUCUCUUACUGAAUAGAAGAUUUUGAAUAACCAUAGCAACAGUAAAACCUGCUGUGAAACUUACAGCAUGAAGUGUUUCAGAUAUCUAGCUCUGGAGAUCAAGGAGUUAGUGAAGGGUAUCGCUUCUGUGUUGUUGUUCCCCCCUGUCCCAUCACUCCCAGCCAGCCUGCUUCAUUCACCCUCACAGGAUCACUGUGGCUGGGAAGGUCGGUGAGGAUUUCAUCUGCCACCAGAGAGCACUGUAACUAUACGCUCCAGCCAGCCGGCCCAAUUUCCAGACCUGAAGGACUUGAGUGUUUUUUUUUUUCUACUUUUAUUUGCACACAAACAUAGCUUCACUUACAUCCUUCAGGCAGCAUGGCUGCAGCAAAGCUACCAAUGCUUUGAGUCCUGGCAUAUCUAAGGAGCACAGCACUGCUCGCCUUCUGUGAUCAUUCCUGUGGUUAAUAUGCAGUUUCCUGACUGAAACCAUUGCACCAUGCAGGCUUAAUAAUUACUUUGAGAUGGGACAUCUCCCUUUUUAGGGAUGGCAGAGAACUUUGUAGAUGGUACAUGUUCCUGGCCGAGAAAUAACGUAUCUGCAGAUGUGUAGACAGCCUUUAGGUAUUUCCUUCUUGAAAGGCUAUAACACCAACAUAUAUUAAUCCUUAGUUUUGUGCAUAAUAGUUGUGGGCUAUUCAUCACUGGAUUAAAGGAGAUCCUAUAAACACUGCACCAGAAUGUUGUUGUUUUCUGUGCAAGUUUUUGACUAUUUCUCUUUGUUACAGGCAGUGUCAGAGGGCUUCUUCCAUCUUCUCAGUAGCAGGGUAGCAAGGGAUUGGAGUAUAUGGAUUCCUUGGUUCUCAUCCCUGGGUUUAAAGUGUAUGUGGGAAUAAGGCAGAGGGUCAAAGUACUGCACAAAGCACCUGCUGAUGAGACACAAAGCCCAUGGUCAGAUCAAGUGGAGCUGACAUGGAUCUGUAUCUAGACUUGAAGAAGAAGGAUGAAGGACCCCACAUUUCCAGCAGCAGAGC
Molecule: long non-coding RNA, 1572 nt
Organism: Oxyura jamaicensis (ruddy duck)
Lineage: Eukaryota; Metazoa; Chordata; Aves; Anseriformes; Anatidae
Exons: 7
Source: RefSeq, a predicted model, not a curated record